UAAGGAAUAUUGGGCAAUGGGCGCAAGCCUGACCCAGCCAUGCCGCGUGCAGGAUGACUGCCCUAUGGGUUGUAAACUGCUUUUAUACGGGGAAAAACCCUCGAACGUGUUCGGGGCUGAUGGUACCGUAAGAAUAAGGAUCGGCUAACUCCGUGCCAGCAGCCGCGGUAAUACGGAGGAUCCAAGCGUUAUCCGGAUUUAUUGGGUUUAAAGGGUGCGUAGGCGGAAUGGUAAGUCAGCGGUGAAAUCUCCCAGCUUAACUGGGAAACUGCCGUUGAUACUGCCAAUCUUGAGUACGGUUGAAGUGGGCGGAAUGUAGCAUGUAGCGGUGAAAUGCUUAGAUAUGCUACAGAACACCGAUUGCGAAGGCAGCUCACUAAGCCGCAACUGACGCUGAGGCACGAAAGCGUGGGGAGCAAACAG
RNAcentral lists this ribosomal RNA (423 nucleotides) under uncultured bacterium. RNAcentral's name for it is "bacterial SSU rRNA". It matches the Rfam family "Bacterial small subunit ribosomal RNA", at positions 355 to 775 of the family's 1533-position model. The record is from RNAcentral.